RNAcentral lists this ribosomal RNA (94 nucleotides) under Eptatretus burgeri (inshore hagfish). The record is from RNAcentral. Lineage: Eukaryota; Metazoa; Chordata; Myxini; Myxiniformes; Myxinidae.
AUGGCUUGAAUGCGCCCAAUCGCAUGAAAUCUCGGAAGCUAAGUAAUCGUGUCAGUUAGUACUUGGAUGGGAGACCUCCAUGGGUUAGUAGUAC